RNAcentral lists this long non-coding RNA (466 nucleotides) under Pongo abelii (Sumatran orangutan). Its description in RNAcentral is "lincRNA". Lineage: Eukaryota; Metazoa; Chordata; Mammalia; Primates; Hominidae. The record is from RNAcentral.
CCCAGGGUUCCCCGUUGGCUUCCCUUCCAUCUAAAGGCCUCCCCCAAGUUUCGGUCCAAAAAGCUGAAAUAAAGAACGAAGUCAAUAAUAAUAUGGAGUGUAUGAGAAAUAGCUGGAAACUUCACCAUCCAUGACUUGAAGAAAUUGACGUUUUACAAAUUAUAUUUUCGCUGAAGAGGCACUUUCAAGAUCCUUCUCUGAGACCUGCACCAAUAAGACUAUACCAAUGUUCAGUUGAAACAUCAGACACUGUUCUGGUUAUGAUGGACACCACAAUGAAAGAGACCUGGUCCCUGUCUUGAGGAAACCCAACUGCUGGUAGAGAGCUCAGAGUAAUGAUUAGGAUGCAAUAUGAGGGAUGCAGUAAUUGGGAUCUACUUCUGGGAAUGGUCACAGCCUGAGAAAGAUGGCAUGCCCUGGAUGGAAUUCACAGAGAAUUAUUUUAAGUAAAAGAAGUUUAAAGUUA